AGUACCGUGAGGGAAAGGCGAAAAGAACCCCGGCGAGGGGAGUGAAAAAGAACCUGAAACCGUGUACGUACAAGCAGUGGGAGCACAGGUUUACCUGUGUGACUGCGUACCUUUUGUAUAAUGGGUCUGCGAAAUUAGUUGGGUGGAUGCAAAUCUCAGCGUAGCUGAAAUCCGUCAGCAGUUACUCUCUUCUCCGCAUAGCCUGUUCCCGGUAUGUCGGGGCGAGCUGGAUGAAAUUAUCGGUAUCGUUCGCGC
Molecule: ribosomal RNA, 255 nt
Filed under: Salmonella enterica subsp. enterica serovar Montevideo
Lineage: Bacteria; Pseudomonadati; Pseudomonadota; Gammaproteobacteria; Enterobacterales; Enterobacteriaceae
Description: partial 23S ribosomal RNA
Rfam family: Bacterial large subunit ribosomal RNA
Source: RNAcentral